RNAcentral lists this long non-coding RNA (1021 nucleotides) under Heterocephalus glaber (naked mole-rat). Its description in RNAcentral is "lncRNA (ENSHGLG00000049351.1)". Lineage: Eukaryota; Metazoa; Chordata; Mammalia; Rodentia; Bathyergidae. The record is from RNAcentral.
CCCAGCGCCCCGGACCCCGACCCCGGUUGGGACGCAGCCCCCGCGCCGCCUGCCAAGCGGCGCAAGUCCGAGUCACCCGACAUGGACCAGGCCAGCUUCUCCAGCGACAGCCCGCAGGACGACGCGCUCACGGAGCACCUGCAGAGCGCCAUCGACAGCAUCCUGAACCUGCAGCAGCCGCCCGGCCGGCCCGGCCCGCACCCCGCGCCCCAGUCCCCGCCGCCUCUGCACAGGCCCGAGGCCUUCCCGCCCUCCAGCCACAACGGGGGCCUGGGCCCCGGCAGGACGUUGAACAGAUAACACCGGGCCGCCGCCUGCCCUGCCCGGGAACACCGGCGGGGACCCCAUAGUCCUUCUUGCCUAAGUUAUUUGAGUCACAAAGGCCUCCUCUCCUUGGGGGUUGUUGAGGGUCCGGUGGGGCGCGUGGGUUCAGGGGAGGGGCUGUCAUGUACAUGUGUCCCCCGCCAAAGGAGGGGCUCCCUGGUGCGGCGCUUCUGGUUCUUCCCAUUUCCGGCUGCAGCCGGCUUUGCUGGGCGCGCGUGAGCGUGUGUGCCCGGGAGGGGGAACCGGGUGUUCCCACGGCCCGGCCCAGGCACCGGUCUUGUCUGUGUGGCAUCAGGAUCGUGGCCAGGGGUGUUGGGGGUCCUGCCAGGCCCCGAGCCUCCUGGCCCAGGCUGUAAACCAAACCCGAGGAGGGCACCCGCGGGCCCUGCCCAGUUGUGCCUGCGCAUCCGUGUGUGUGUGUGCACGCGCACGUGCGCGUGCAAGUGAGAGAUCCUGGCCGCUCAGUCCCUCCCUUGGGAAUCUCAGCCGCGCGGCCCGGGCUCCUCCCUCCUCCAGCCGUCUUCCCGCUCCUUCCUGCCUCCCACGCCACGUUUUGAAAUCUCGGAGACAGAACUAGUACUGUAAGAUAAAUUUUUUUGUACUGUAUUUAUUGUGUAUAACGAUUUUUUAAAAGGAGAAUUCUGUACAUUUAGAACUCUUGUAAAUUAAAAAACCAAUCCUUUUUUUUAAGACUGUA